GAAAUGCGAUAAGUAAUGUGAAUUGCAGAAUUCAGUGAAUCAUCGAAUCUUUGAACGCACCUUGCGCUCCUUGGUAUUCCUCGGAGCAUGCCUGUUUGAGUAUCAUGAAACCCUCAAAAUAAAUCUUUUGUUCACUCGAUUGAUUUUAUUUUGGACUUGGAGGCCUGCAGAUUCACGUCUGCUCCUCUUAAAUACAUUAGCUGGAUCUCUGAGAACUCGGUUCCACUCGGCGUGAUAAGUAUCAUUCGCUGAGGACACUUUGUAAAAAAAAGUGGCCGGGCUCACUGUAGAACUGCUUCUAAUAGUCCAUUGACUUGGACAAUUACAAUUUAUGAUCUGAUCUCAAAUCAGGUAGGACUACCCGCUGAACUUAA
This 374-nucleotide unclassified non-coding RNA is filed under the name uncultured Ceratobasidiaceae. Its description in RNAcentral is "sequence contains ITS1". The stretch from base 1 to 105 matches the Rfam family "5.8S ribosomal RNA", at positions 50 to 154 of the family's 154-position model. Lineage: Eukaryota; Fungi; Basidiomycota; Agaricomycetes; Cantharellales; Ceratobasidiaceae. The record is from RNAcentral.